This is a non-coding RNA of Paramuricea clavata, 695 nucleotides long. NCBI's taxonomy places the organism in Eukaryota, Metazoa, Cnidaria, Anthozoa, Malacalcyonacea, Plexauridae. The record is from the annotation of a GenBank genome assembly.
AAGAGUAUAUGAAGCAGAAUGUACGGGGUGAAAGAGAAAUGGAAGAACAACAAUAUCGAGGAAAGGUGAUAGUACCGUAUGUUCGCGGAAUAUCAGAACAGUUUAAGAGAGUAGCUUUGAUACAUUCUUUUCAAACGGCAUUCAAACCAGGAAAGAAAGUCAAAGAUCUAAAGACCAGAUCCCAACAACCACUUCGUGAGAAGCAGAAAGAUGUUGUGUGCAAGAUUCCGUGCAAAUGUGAGAAGGCGGCGUAUGUUGGAGAAACGUGGAGAUUACUGAAGACGAGAAAAAAGGAACAUGAAAGCAAAGUGAAAAUAACGAAUGAAGAUAUCGAAAACGGGAACCUGACAAUGGCGAAUGAACGAAUGGGAAAGGAAGACGGGGGAUUAGCGCGACACAAUGUGAAUUGUUUAAGUGGAGUUGAUUGGGAAAAUACAAGUGUUGUCAGUGGCAAAAGAAAGUGGUUUGAGACAAAGAAAGGUGAAAGAAGGAAUAGAGUCUCUCAGGGAAAUACAUCGUGGUAUGAAAGUAUUAAACAGUUUUGAGUCAUUGACAGUAUGGAGACCUAUUUUAGACAGAUAUUUCGAUAAUGAGAACAGACACGCGCGUGCGCGUGCAUUUUAGUUUGAAAUUAAGCUUGCGUAGAACGAACGUUAAAUUAGUUUGUACACGUCAACAUUUACAAAGUUGUAAUA